CUGGUUGAUCCUGCCAGUAGUCAUAUGCUUGUCUUAAAGAUUAAUCCAUGCAUGUGUAAGUAUAAGUAUUGUACAGCGAAACUGCGAAUGGCUCAUUACAUCAGUUAUAAUUUAUUUGAUAAUCGAAAGUUACAUGGAUAACCGUGACAAAUUACAGCUAAUACAUGCAGUCAGACCUGGUCCAAGGGUCGUAAUUAUUAGUAUUAAACCAUUUCCGUAAGGAGUGUGAUGAAUCAUAAUAAUCGAACGAAUCGCCUGGUGUGCGAUAAAUCAUUCAAGUUUCUGCCCUAUCAGCUUUGGAUGGUAGUGUAUUGGACUACCAUGGCAGUCACGGGUAACGGAGAAUUAGGGUUCGAUUCCGGAGAGGGAGCCUGAGAAACGGCUACCACAUCUACGGAAGGCAGCAGGAGCGAAAAUUGCCCAAUCCCGACACGGGGAGGCAGUGACGAGAAAUAACAACUCUUGGUUAUUCUAAGAAGUGUAAUGAGGAUAAUUUAAAACCCUUACCGAAAGCAAUUGGAGGGCAAGUCUGGUGCCAGCAGCCGCGGUAAUUCCAGCUCCAAUAGCGUAUAUUAAAGUUGUUGCAGUUAAAAAGCUCGUAGUUGAAGUUCUGGCUGUUCGAUCCUCGAGCUCUGUAGCCGAGGACUCGACAGUCAUCCGCUUGCAAAUAUAGUUCGUCUUUAACCGGAUGGCUAUAUGAGUAAGCAAUUUACCUUGAGAAAAACAGAGUGUUCCAGGCAGGUUUGUCCGGAAUGCAUUAGCAUGGAAUAAUAGAAUAUGACUGAAGUCGAUUUAUUGGUUUGAGGCUUUAGUAAUGAUUAAUAGGAACAGUCGGGGGCAUUGGUACUUGACAGUCAGAGGUGAAAUUCUAGGAUUUGUCAAAGACUAACAAAUGCGAAAGCAUUUGCCAAGGAUGUUUUCAUUAAUCAAGAACGAAAGUUAGGGGAUCAAAGACGAUCAGAUACCGUCCUAGUCUUAACUAUAAACUAUACCGACUCGGAUUCAGAUGAAUCAUAAAGUUCAUUUGGGACCGUAGGAGAAAUCAAAGUUUUUGGGUUCUGGGGGAAGUAUGGUCGCAAGGCUGAAACUUAAAGGAAUUGACGGUUUUGCACCACCAUGGAGUGGAGUCUGCGGCUUAAUUUGACAACACUGGGAAACUCAUCAGGGCAAGAAGAUUGUAGGAUUGACAGAUUGAGAGUUCUUUCUUGAUUGGUCUAGUGGUGGUGCAUGGCCGUUCUUAGUUGGUGGAGUGAUUUGUCUGGUUAAUUCCGUUAACGAACGAGACCUUAACCUGCUAACUAGUACACAGAUGACAAAUCUGUGAUACUUCUUAGAGGGACUAUGUGAUGUAAUCACAUGGAAGUUUGAGGCAAUAACAGGUCUGUGAUGCCCUUAGAUGUCCUGAGCUGCACGCGUACUACAAUGGUGCUUUCAACGAGCUUUUCCUGAUCCGAAAGGAUUUGGGUAAUCUUUUUAGUGAGCACCGUGCUUGGGAUAGAUCUUUGUAAUUAUGGAUCUUGAACUAGGAAUUCCUAGUAAGCACGUGUCAUCAGCACGUGCUGAUUAC
RNAcentral lists this ribosomal RNA (1567 nucleotides) under Vorticella sp. Its description in RNAcentral is "SSU rRNA". It matches the Rfam family "Eukaryotic small subunit ribosomal RNA", at positions 4 to 1648 of the family's 1831-position model. The record is from RNAcentral. Lineage: Eukaryota; Ciliophora; Oligohymenophorea; Sessilida; Vorticellidae.